CUGGCCUUCAGUUUCCAUAUUGGUGUCUUUGUGAAGCUUCCUAUCUUUGCUUUUCAACUAAGAUGAAACAGCAUUUAAAAGAAAAUGCCAUGUGAGAUGAGAUCAGGAGAAUGGAUUCUUUCUUUCAUCUGAAUAGAGAGCUGCUGUUCGAGAUUCUAACUCAAAUAGCUCAAAGGACACCUUCUCCGGGAAACCUUCCCUGACUUCC
Molecule: long non-coding RNA, 208 nt
Filed under: Homo sapiens (human)
Lineage: Eukaryota; Metazoa; Chordata; Mammalia; Primates; Hominidae
Description: non-protein coding lnc-BMP6-106:147
Source: RNAcentral